Long non-coding RNA from Marmota monax (woodchuck), 1199 nucleotides. RefSeq lists it as uncharacterized. The record is from RefSeq and is a predicted model, not a curated record. Lineage: Eukaryota; Metazoa; Chordata; Mammalia; Rodentia; Sciuridae. The transcript is spliced from 4 exons.
CCCAAAACCCCGGAGCGGGGUUUCCCUGGCUUGGAGAAAGUCCUGCUGGGGGCUUUACUGGAGCCCACAGCCGCCGCGAGGCCAGGGGCCAGCGGGCCGGAGGGGGUUCCUGGAGACCCACAGACUUUCUCUGGGCUGAGUCCUGGAGUCGGCCCCUCCUUCCCGCCUCCCGCCCCUCCAGGCCCCUGCUGGGUCAUCUUUGAGCAUGCGUGACUUGGGACCGUGAGAGCUCCUGGGUAUGAGGCGGCCCCUUGGAGCAGAUCUGCGCCCCUGCCCAGUCCUACUUACUCACGAUUUCAGAAAGUCAACAAGUCAAAGUGCUCGCAGAGGAACAGGCUCAGGUCCCACAAGGCGUGUCAGCGUUAAACCAAAAGGGAACUGGCCCUGUGAGCAGGCUGGUUCUGGUCUGGGGGCCCCGGAUGUGCGGCCUGUGGAGGAGACACACGCGGAGGAUCCUUGGCAGACUCCAGAGACGCUUCACGUUGUCACUCUAGUCCGGUGGCAGUGGGGACGCUGUUCACACCUGCAUGCACUUAUCCUCUGUGUCCCUCCUCCAUCCCUCCUCCAUCCUGCCCUCCUGUCCUGGGAGGCACAGGUUUGCUCCUGGAGCUUAAGGACGGACCCCAGAGGACACAGUGCCAGUGACCACAUCAAGGGUGCACGCCCAGCUCAGCGCCACACCUGCUAGCCCUGAGGACCUGAAGGGUGUCAGGCUGGUGACUCCUGGGGCUCCCUGCUGACUGGACCUCCUGCAGAGGCCCUGGGGUCCUGACACCGAGCCUUGGGCAUGGAAGGACUGGGGCCUCAGGCGAGGAGUGUGGAUGCUGCCGUCACCUGUGUUCCCGACCCCAGACAGGGCGUGUGAGUCGUGAAUGAAGGAGGGAUGCGGGGGACCAGCACCCAGCCCGCCAGCUGUCUCUCCUCUUCCAGAGCCUGGUCCCCAACAGCACCUGGUGUGACUGACUGCUGCCUGGCCCUACCCGCCCCCGCCGCCGGCUCGGCAUUCUGAGCGAGGGGCGAGCGCUGCAUGAUGAAUGGCUGCAGAGCAAGGGGCACUGGCCAACGAGGGGAGGCCAGGUGCCACGGCAGGACGGUCUCAGAGAAGGGAGGUGUGCCUGGUCCUGGGCCCAUACGACCCAUGUGGGGGCCCCAGAUGACAGUGUUGACACUAGACACCAUUAAAAAAGUGUUUUAACCAA